AUGAACGCUGGCGGCGUGCCUCAUCCAUGCAAGUCGCGCGAACAGACGAGGAGCUUGCUCCUCUGACGUUAGCGGCGGACGGGUGAGUAACACGUGGAUAACCUACCUAUAAGACUGGGAUAACUUCGGGAAACCGGAGCUAAUACCGGAUAAUAUAUUGAACCGCAUGGUUCAAUAGUGAAAGACGGUUUUGCUGUCACUUUUAGAUGGAUCCGCGCCGCAUUAGCUAGUUGGUAAGGUAACGGCUUACCAAGGCAACGAUGCGUAGCCGACCUGAGAGGGUGAUCGGCCACACUGGAACUGAGACACGGUCCAGACUCCUACGGGAGGCAGCAGUAGGGAAUCUGCCGCAAUGGGCGAAAGCCUGACGGAGCAACGCCGCGUGAGUGAUGAAGGUCUUCGGAUCGUAAAACUCUGUUAUUAGGGAAGAACAAAUGUGUAAGUAACUAUGCACGUCUUGACGGUACCUAAUCAGAAAGCCACGGCUAACUACGU
This 495-nucleotide ribosomal RNA is filed under the name uncultured bacterium. RNAcentral describes it as "partial 16S ribosomal RNA". It matches the Rfam family "Bacterial small subunit ribosomal RNA", at positions 29 to 506 of the family's 1533-position model. The record is from RNAcentral.